AUAAGAAAAAAUAACUCGAUAAAAGCUUUAAAAACAAAAAUUUUUUAAUAAAAAUAAAAAAUUAAUUUUAAUAAGUAUAAUUAUUAGAAACUCUUUUUAGAAGUUAAUUAAGUACUGAAAAGGAAAUUUGAAAAUUUUAAAUAAAAAUUAAAAUAAAAGAAGAAAUAAAACCUCCUACCUUUUGUAUUAUGGUUUAACAACAAAAAUAGAAAAAUUUUUCAAAACCCGAAACCAAGAGAUCUAAUGAAACCCCAACAAAAUUGGUUGUAUCUGUAUUACUGUUACAAAAGUAAACAAAGAGGAAUCAUUAGCCAUGAAAAGUGAAACGAGCUUGGUGAUAGCUGGUUUCUCAUAAAAUGAAUUUUAGUUCAAGCUUUUAAUUAUGAUAUUUUGUAUAAAUAUAAUCAUAAUAUAAAAAGCUAAACCAAAAGGGACAAACUUUUUGGUUACAGGAAAAAGCCUAAAAUAAUAGUUAAAAUCAAAAAUAAUAAUAAGAAAAAAAAUAUAGUAGGCCUAGAAGCAGCCACCAAAAAGAAAGCGUUAAAGCAAAAUAUAUAAAAAAACAAUAAUUUAUGAAAAAAAAAUUUUAACUUUUUUUCUAAUGAGAUAAUUAUUAUUUAAUUAUAAAAGAAUGUUAAAAUUAGUAUUUAAAAUUUAAGGCUAAAAAAAUUUAAACUACUCUAACAACCCUUAGUGGAAGAAAGAAAAUAUUUUCUCCAAGAAAAAAAUUUUUUUAAUAGUUAAACCCAACACCGGAAGCCUAAUACUUUAAAAAGUAAGAAGAAGGAACUCAGCAAAUAAAAGUUUCGCCUGUUUACCAAAAACAUCGCUCUUUGAAAAAUAUUAAUAAAGAGUACUGCCUGCCCAGUGACAAAAGUUAAACGGCCGCGGUAUUUUGACCGUGCAAAGGUAGCAUAAUCAUUUGUUCUUUAAUUGAGGACUAGAAUGAAAGGCAACACGAAAACUUAACUGUCUCCUUCUUAAAAAAAGAAAUUAAUAUUUUUGUGAAGAAGCAAAAAUAAAAAUGUAAGACGAGAAGACCCUGUCGAGCUUAAGAAAAUUUUUAUAAGAAAAUAAAUAAGUUAAGCUAAGUUAUAUUACUAAAAACUAAAAAUAAAAAUAUCUUUGGUUGGGGCAACCACGAAGAAAAAGAAACCUUCGUUCUAAAAAAGAAAUUAACAAAUUAAAAACUUUAAUAAAGAAAAAGAUCCAGAAUAUACUGAUCAAAGAAAAAAGUUACCGCAGGGAUAACAGCGUUAUUCUCUUUAAGAGCUCGUAUUGACAAGAGAGUUUGCGACCUCGAUGUUGGACCGGGGCAUCCAAGAGGUGUAGCAGCCUCUAAAGGUAGGUCUGUUCGACCUUUAAAGCCCUACGCGAUCUGAGUUCAGACCGACGCAAGUCAGGUCAGUUUCUAUCUACAAAAAAAGAAGUUUUACUAGUACGAAAGGAAUUUAAAACUAAAGUCAACUUUUCAAAAAGAACUUUUUAACAAAUACUGAAAAAAAAUAAAGAGAAACUU
RNAcentral lists this ribosomal RNA (1519 nucleotides) under Florometra sp. BMK-2020. RNAcentral's name for it is "16S ribosomal RNA". The stretch from base 755 to 1519 matches the Rfam family "Archaeal large subunit ribosomal RNA", at positions 1423 to 2862 of the family's 2987-position model. RNAcentral also lists the same sequence under 1 other name. Lineage: Eukaryota; Metazoa; Echinodermata; Crinoidea; Comatulida; Antedonidae. The record is from RNAcentral.